CCAGCUCGUUUUCUUUUGAUUUCUCUCCCGUGCAAAGCCACUAAUGCCCUCAUUUAUUCAUCGCAUAAACACACACUGGCAUCUGUUCCAUGCCAUGGGCACAGUGAUGAAGAGGACAGGUUCCCUGCCAUCCGAAGCUCGGGCCGAGAAGGUGGCUGCACAAGGCCAACUGACCAGGGCACUUGGAUGGGCAAGGUUUGCCUACCCUUGAGGGUUUACUAAGAAGGGUGGAAUUGGCACCACAAAGCCACCUCAGUCCUAUCCCAUGCCUGCCCUACUAGCUAAGCAGAAGACAGGAAAGCAUGGAAGAGAAAAUCUGGGGGAUUUGGAGUCAUUCAUCUGCUAAAUGCAGACUGCAGGGGUUCUGUCCCUCUCCUCCUCCACGCCACACACAUGUGCCCCUGUGAGAGCCACUCCGGCACCUUCCACACUGAGGCCAUCGAAGACUCAUCAAGUGUUGGCCAGAAACUUUGGCAGUGACAGCCAAAAAAUUGAAAAGGACAAGAGCAUUUGGCAAGCAGACUCAUUUGUCCUCAUCCCUCUUCCUCCUCCUAUUUCUUGACCCCAGAAGAGGAGGCAGGCUGGAAGUGUCUCCAAAAUAGGUGGCUGCAGUUCCCUGUUGUGCAAGGAGAUGUGGGAAGAUAGAAAUCCAGAGUGUCCCAGGAACCCAAAUGCCCAGAAAGAUGGAAAAUUUUAUCAGACUGUUGAUGGAUCUCACACUCCGAUGCCAUGGUGGA
This 737-nucleotide long non-coding RNA is filed under the name Homo sapiens (human). RNAcentral describes it as "HSALNT0331167". Lineage: Eukaryota; Metazoa; Chordata; Mammalia; Primates; Hominidae. The record is from RNAcentral.